RNAcentral lists this ribosomal RNA (409 nucleotides) under uncultured bacterium. Its description in RNAcentral is "bacterial SSU rRNA". It matches the Rfam family "Bacterial small subunit ribosomal RNA", at positions 355 to 775 of the family's 1533-position model. The record is from RNAcentral.
UGGGGAAUAUUGCACAAUGGGCGAAAGCCUGAUGCAGUGACGCCGCGUGAGGGAUGAAGGCCUUCGGGUUGUAAACCUCUUUCGGCAGGGACGAAGCGAUCAGUGACGGUACCUGCAGAAGAAGCCCCGGCUAACUACGUGCCAGCAGCCGCGGUAAGACGUAGGGGGCGAGCGUUGUCCGGAUUCAUUGGGCGUAAAGCGCGCGUAGGCGGCUGCGCAAGUCGGGUGUGAAACCCCGGGGCUCAACCCCGGAACUGCAUCCGAUACUGCGUGGCUAGAGGUAGGUAGGGGAGAUCGGAAUUCCUGGUGUAGCGGUGAAAUGCGCAGAUAUCAGGAGGAACACCGGUGGCGAAGGCGGAUCUCUGGGCCUUACCUGACGCUCAGGCGCGAAAGCUAGGGGAGCGAACAG